CAUAUCAAUAAGCGGAGGAAAAGAAACCAACAGGGAUUGCCUCAGUAGCGGCGAGUGAAGCGGCAAAAGCUCAAAUUUGAAAUCUGGCGUCUUUGGCGUCCGAGUUGUAAUUUGAAGAAGGUAUCUUUGGGCCCGGCUCUUGUCUAUGUUCCUUGGAACAGGACGUCACAGAGGGUGAGAAUCCCGUGCGAUGAGAUGACCCGGGUCUGUGUAAAGUUCCUUCGACGAGUCGAGUUGUUUGGGAAUGCAGCUCUAAGUGGGUGGUAAAUUCCAUCUAAAGCUAAAUAUUGGCGAGAGACCGAUAGCGAACAAGUACAGUGAUGGAAAGAUGAAAAGAACUUUGAAAAGAGAGUGAAAAAGUACGUGAAAUUGUUGAAAGGGAAGGGCUUGAGAUCAGACUUGGUAUUUUGCAUGCUGCUCUCUCGGGGGCGGCCGCUGCGGUUUACCGGGCCAGCAUCGGUUUGGAGCGGCAGGAUAAUGGCGGAGGAAUGUGGCACGGCUUCUGCUGUGUGUUAUAGCCUCUGACGAUACUGCCAGCCUAGACCGAGGACUGCGGUUUUUUUACCUAGGAUGUUGGCAUAAUGAUCUUAAGUCGCCCGUCUUGAAACACGGACC
This 615-nucleotide ribosomal RNA is filed under the name Candida albicans. RNAcentral's name for it is "eukaryotic LSU rRNA". It matches the Rfam family "Eukaryotic large subunit ribosomal RNA", at positions 39 to 667 of the family's 3401-position model. Lineage: Eukaryota; Fungi; Ascomycota; Pichiomycetes; Serinales; Debaryomycetaceae. The record is from RNAcentral.